UUAAGCGACUAAGCGUACACGGUGGAUGCCCUGGCAGUCAGAGGCGAUGAAGGACGUGCUAAUCUGCGAUAAGCGUCGGUGAGGUGAUAUGAACCGUUAUAACCGGCGAUUUCCGAAUGGGGAAACCCAGUGUGUUUCGACACACUAUCAUUAACUGAAUCCAUAGGUUAAUGAGGCGAACCGGGGGAACUGAAACAUCUAAGUACCCCGAGGAAAAGAAAUCAACCGAGAUUCCCCCAGUAGCGGCGAGCGAACGGGGAGGAGCCCAGAGCCUGAAUCAGUGUGUGUGUUAGUGGAAGCGUCUGGAAAGGCGCGCGAUACAGGGUGACAGCCCCGUACACAAAAAUGCACAUACUGUGAGCUCGAUGAGUAGGGCGGGACACGUGGUAUCCUGUCUGAAUAUGGGGGGACCAUCCUCCAAGGCUAAAUACUCCUGACUGACCGAUAGUGAACCAGUACCGUGAGGGAAAGGCGAAAAGAACCCCGGCGAGGGGAGUGAAAAAGAACCUGAAACCGUGUACGUACAAGCAGUGGGAGCCUCUUAAUGGGGUGACUGCGUACCUUUUGUAUAAUGGGUCAGCGACUUAUAUUCUGUAGCAAGGUUAACCGAAUAGGGGAGCCGAAGGGAAACCGAGUCUUAACUGGGCGUUAAGUUGCAGGGUAUAGACCCGAAACCCGGUGAUCUAGCCAUGGGCAGGUUGAAGGUUGGGUAACACUAACUGGAGGACCGAACCGACUAAUGUUGAAAAAUUAGCGGAUGACUUGUGGCUGGGGGUGAAAGGCCAAUCAAACCGGGAGAUAGCUGGUUCUCCCCGAAAGCUAUUUAGGUAGCGCCUCGUGAAUUCAUCUCCGGGGGUAGAGCACUGUUUCGGCAAGGGGGUCAUCCCGACUUACCAACCCGAUGCAAACUGCGAAUACCGGAGAAUGUUAUCACGGGAGACACACGGCGGGUGCUAACGUCCGUCGUGAAGAGGGAAACAACCCAGACCGCCAGCUAAGGUCCCAAAGUCAUGGUUAAGUGGGAAACGAUGUGGGAAGGCCCAGACAGCCAGGAUGUUGGCUUAGAAGCAGCCAUCAUUUAAAGAAAGCGUAAUAGCUCACUGGUCGAGUCGGCCUGCGCGGAAGAUGUAACGGGGCUAAACCAUGCACCGAAGCUGCGGCAGCGACACUAUGUGUUGUUGGGUAGGGGAGCGUUCUGUAAGCCUGUGAAGGUGUACUGUGAGGUAUGCUGGAGGUAUCAGAAGUGCGAAUGCUGACAUAAGUAACGAUAAAGCGGGUGAAAAGCCCGCUCGCCGGAAGACCAAGGGUUCCUGUCCAACGUUAAUCGGGGCAGGGUGAGUCGACCCCUAAGGCGAGGCCGAAAGGCGUAGUCGAUGGGAAACAGGUUAAUAUUCCUGUACUUGGUGUUACUGCGAAGGGGGGACGGAGAAGGCUAUGUUGGCCGGGCGACGGUUGUCCCGGUUUAAGCGUGUAGGCUGGUUUUCCAGGCAAAUCCGGAAAAUCAAGGCUGAGGCGUGAUGACGAGGCACUACGGUGCUGAAGCGACAAAUGCCCUGCUUCCAGGAAAAGCCUCUAAGCAUCAGGUAACAUCAAAUCGUACCCCAAACCGACACAGGUGGUCAGGUAGAGAAUACCAAGGCGCUUGAGAGAACUCGGGUGAAGGAACUAGGCAAAAUGGUGCCGUAACUUCGGGAGAAGGCACGCUGAUAUGUAGGUGAAGCGACUUGCUCGUGGAGCUGAAAUCAGUCGAAGAUACCAGCUGGCUGCAACUGUUUAUUAAAAACACAGCACUGUGCAAACACGAAAGUGGACGUAUACGGUGUGACACCUGCCCGGUGCCGGAAGGUUAAUUGAUGGGGUUAGCGGUAACGCGAAGCUCUUGAUCGAAGCCCCGGUAAACGGCGGCCGUAACUAUAACGGUCCUAAGGUAGCGAAAUUCCUUGUCGGGUAAGUUCCGACCUGCACGAAUGGCGUAAUGAUGGCCAGGCUGUCUCCACCCGAGACUCAGUGAAAUUGAACUCGCUGUGAAGAUGCAGUGUACCCGCGGCAAGACGGAAAGACCCCGUGAACCUUUACUAUAGCUUGACACUGAACAUUGAGCCUUGAUGUGUAGGAUAGGUGGGAGGCUUUGAAGUGUGGACGCCAGUCUGCAUGGAGCCGACCUUGAAAUACCACCCUUUAAUGUUUGAUGUUCUAACGUGGGCCCCUUACCGGGGUUGCGGACAGUGUCUGGUGGGUAGUUUGACUGGGGCGGUCUCCUCCUAAAGAGUAACGGAGGAGCACGAAGGUUGGCUAAUCCUGGUCGGACAUCAGGAGGUUAGUGCAAUGGCAUAAGCCAGCUUGACUGCGAGCGUGACGGCGCGAGCAGGUGCGAAAGCAGGUCAUAGUGAUCCGGUGGUUCUGAAUGGAAGGGCCAUCGCUCAACGGAUAAAAGGUACUCCGGGGAUAACAGGCUGAUACCGCCCAAGAGUUCAUAUCGACGGCGGUGUUUGGCACCUCGAUGUCGGCUCAUCACAUCCUGGGGCUGAAGUAGGUCCCAAGGGUAUGGCUGUUCGCCAUUUAAAGUGGUACGCGAGCUGGGUUUAGAACGUCGUGAGACAGUUCGGUCCCUAUCUGCCGUGGGCGCUGGAGAACUGAGGGGGGCUGCUCCUAGUACGAGAGGACCGGAGUGGACGCAUCACUGGUGUUCGGGUUGUCAUGCCAAUGGCACUGCCCGGUAGCUAAAUGCGGAAGAGAUAAGUGCUGAAAGCAUCUAAGCACGAAACUUGCCCCGAGAUGAGUUCUCCCUGACUCCUUGAGAGUCCUGAAGGAACGUUGAAGACGACGACGUUGAUAGGCCGGGUGUGUAAGCGCAGCGAUGCGUUGAGCUAACCGGUACUAAUGAACCGUGAGGCUUAACCUU
Molecule: ribosomal RNA, 2902 nt
Filed under: Escherichia coli
Lineage: Bacteria; Pseudomonadati; Pseudomonadota; Gammaproteobacteria; Enterobacterales; Enterobacteriaceae
Description: bacterial LSU rRNA
Rfam family: Bacterial large subunit ribosomal RNA
Source: RNAcentral